UGUUAAAAAAUUCAUCCCUUUGUACUGUUAAAAACUAGUGUGGCUGACAGAAUGAUCUGAUGCCAUAUGGUGUUCCAUAUGUAGCUUAUAUUGAUGUACAGAGAUCAGUUUUUAACAAUAACAAUGGAUUAAAUUUUUAACA
Non-coding RNA from Gossypium arboreum, 142 nucleotides. Lineage: Eukaryota; Viridiplantae; Streptophyta; Magnoliopsida; Malvales; Malvaceae. The record is from Rfam.